This 460-nucleotide ribosomal RNA is filed under the name uncultured bacterium. Its description in RNAcentral is "partial 16S ribosomal RNA". It matches the Rfam family "Bacterial small subunit ribosomal RNA", at positions 338 to 795 of the family's 1533-position model. The record is from RNAcentral.
CCUACGGGCGGCAGCAGUGAGGAAUAUUGGUCAAUGGGCGCAAGCCUGAACCAGCCAAGUCGCGUGAGGGAUGACGGUCCUAUGGAUUGUAAACCUCUUUUGUCGGGGAGCAAGGCCCGCCACGUGUGGCGGGAAGGAGAGUACCCGAAGAAAAAGCAUCGGCUAACUCCGUGCCAGCAGCCGCGGUAAUACGGAGGAUGCGAGCGUUAUCCGGAUUUAUUGGGUUUAAAGGGUGCGUAGGCGGAAGGUUAAGUCAGCGGGAAAAUGUCGGUGCUCAACACCGGCCUGCCGUUGAAACUGGUCUUCUUGAGUGAGCGAGAAGUAUGCGGAAUGCGUGGUGUAGCGGUGAAAUGCAUAGAUAUCACGCAGAACUCCGAUUGCGAAGGCAGCAUACCGGCGCUCAACUGACGCUGAGGCACGAAAGCGUGGGGAGCGAACAGGAUUAGAUACCCUGGUAGUC